AUUGAACGCUGGCGGCAGGCUUAACACAUGCAAGUCGAGCGAGCGGCGGACGGGUGAGUAAUGCCUGUGAAACUGCCUGAUGGAGGGGGAUAACUACUGGAAAUUGUAGCUAAUACCGCAUACCAUCAGAUGUGCCCAGAUGGGAUUAGCUAGUAGGUGGGGUAAUGGCUCACCUAGGCUACGACCCCUAGCUGGUCUGAGAGGAUGACAAGCAACACUGGAGCUGAGACACGGUCCAAGCUCCUACGGGAGGCAGCAGUGGGGAAUCUUGCACGAUGGGCGCAAGCCUGAUGCAGCCAUGCCGCGUGUGUGAAGAAGGCCUUAGGGUUGUAAAGCACUUUCAGCGAGGAGGCGUUACUCGCAGAAGAAGCACCGGCUAACUCCGUGCCAGCAGCCGCGGUAAUAC
RNAcentral lists this ribosomal RNA (406 nucleotides) under uncultured bacterium. RNAcentral describes it as "partial 16S ribosomal RNA". It matches the Rfam family "Bacterial small subunit ribosomal RNA", at positions 30 to 526 of the family's 1533-position model. The record is from RNAcentral.